CGCUGAGGGGAGCGGGGGCAGCGCGGGGCGGCUGCCGGGGCUCUCCCUGAGGCAGCGCCGGCACGCCCGGCUCUGAGGCGCCCUGAGGUGCUCGGGCAGCGUGCUCGGAGUGCCCUGCGCCACGGAGCGGUGCCGGGCCGGGUUCGUGUUGUGAGCGGGGCUCCCUCCUGGAACCGGAGGGGAUCAAUCCAGCGUGGGAGUCCGUGUGCUUUAUGUCUUAGAGCAGCUCUUGAGAAUUCUGGUUCAUCGCGUUAUCCUGAGUGGCUGCAUUUUCAGUGUGAAUGUCAGGUGCCCUGAAGAGAAUGUUGAAUGGUGAAAAACGAUGCUCCGCAGGUCUCCUUUUCCCCAUCUUCAUAUCAAGAGUAAAACCCAUUAGCAUGGGCAUGGAUGGUCAAGCUUAUGAUCAGCUGAAAUAUUUGAGUGCCUCGGAGAGCAAGUGAUGGUGACAUGUGGUGUUUUGCCAUUUCCAUAGUCUACUCACUACUUCUAACACAGGAGUUGAAAAUUAUCACCAGAAGAUUAUUUCUGAACUUGAUCAACUAAAGGAUUAAGGUAAUU
This 558-nucleotide long non-coding RNA is filed under the name Anas platyrhynchos (mallard). RNAcentral describes it as "lncRNA (ENSAPLG00020000514.1)". Lineage: Eukaryota; Metazoa; Chordata; Aves; Anseriformes; Anatidae. The record is from RNAcentral.